Molecule: ribosomal RNA, 109 nt
Filed under: uncultured Campylobacter sp.
Lineage: Bacteria; Pseudomonadati; Campylobacterota; Epsilonproteobacteria; Campylobacterales; Campylobacteraceae
Description: partial 16S ribosomal RNA
Rfam family: Bacterial small subunit ribosomal RNA
Source: RNAcentral
CACGUGCUACAAUGGCAUAUACAAUGAGGAGCAAUACCGCGAGGUGGAGCAAAUCUAUAAAAUAUGUCUUAGUUCGGAUUGUUCUCUGCAACUCGAGAGCAUGAAGCCA